UCAGUAAAUUAGCAACGAUCAAGUUUUUUAUCCAUCAACUUGAAGCAACCAAUUUACCAAUCAUUUGUUGUGUUCUUCAUUGAAUUCACUGAACUUGCUCCUCUUCUUGCAUUUUGCAGCCAUCAGUGAGUGCCGGGCAGCUGACGGUGGACCUGGUAAUUACCUGUGAGAAGGUGGGCACCACCCAGCCCCUCUGACCACAGCAGCAAAGACCAGUGCCAUGUCUUGCCUGCCCAGUCCCUUGCUGUCAUGCAGACCCCCUCAUAGAAUGAGCGACAUAACCUCCUGACUGAGCUGGUCCAGGAGGUGGUGGUCCUGCAAUGCCUAUGAGCGAUGGGACAACAACCAAAUCCCUGGCCACAGCUGCGCUACCUCACCUCCCACACAACAGAGGAGGACGUGCUAGUCUCACUUGGGGCCUUGGAGCUGGAGAACACAAAGAAAGAACAAACAACAGCAGACCUGAUGGUUCUUACGAGGCUGUUUGUGACAAGCUACACUAACUAUCUAAUCAAAGGUGGAAGAUGAAGGACAGCAAGAUGAAGAAGCAUCUCUCAGCCCUUCCUCUCGGGUGCCGGCUUUGUCAAACUCUUCAUGGAAAUUUACACUGACCUCAUCAUGGCAGAGACUGGGCAUGCACAAGGCGACCCAUUGUAGUAGCAGUGUUGUGUUCCCCCAGUGACCUGCCGACCACUGUGCUGCUCAUCAAGUUUGUGGAGGAGGGAGACAGUGCGAUGGGCACAGUCAUGCUGCUCAACUUUCUCAAUGCUUGGAAGGUCCAGGAGCCGUCCAGCUGCCCCGGAGAGCCCAGCGACCACACCCUGCAAGACAGCCUGCUCAUCCUGGGACACACACAGCCUCACCCUUCAGGCAGGAGACUGACGGGACGAGAACAACAACAACAACAACAAGAGGAGGGGGAGGAGGGUGGUACACAGGAGUGACUGGUGAGUGUUCAUUUAUCAAUAAUUUCCUUGUUCCUUCUUGUGUUCAGUUUAUUCCUACAAUAGUUUCUUUUAUGAUAAAUUCUUUGCCUUCUUUUUUUCCCAUGUUCACCUCCGUCUUCUUCCUGUCACAUUACAUGCUCCAUUUUUUUUUCCAUGUACAGCUCCGUCUUCUUCCUGUUACUUUCCACACUCCUCCGUCUGUCCCCCUCGUCUGGUAUUGUUUCAGUGAACAUUCCUUUUGUUUGUAGUGUGUGUGUGUGAGGUGGUGUGGCGUGGUGUGGGUCAGGUCACCUCCCCUAAGGGACAGGCAGGCCACACUAAGCACUGGCUCAGGAAAUACAGGAAAACUCACUCCACACUUACCAGAACAGUACAACACACAAACAAAAGAUUAUUCUCACUAUAUAAUUAUUAUAGUCCGUUUCAUUCCCAGACCAGCACAGCUCACCUGAAAAAAUAUACAUAUACUUUCAAUUCUAGCAAACACCUUAACCACUCAGAAAAAGCAGAGAGAAAGUAAUUAUGGUUUUAGGAAUGUUACAUAGUGCCAUUGUCUCUUAUUAUGAUGGAAAGAGGAAUGAAAUGUGAAGAGAUCCAAGGUGUUGCUGUGUUGAAGGCACAGGCUGCCUGGCCCACUCCUCUUAAAAACACGCUUGCCAUUCUCUGGAAUGAAGGAGUUGGCUUCUCUUACUCUCAAAGUUAAAUUUCAAGUUGAAAACACAAUUUAUAAGCAUUUAAACGUAAAUUUGAUAGUAUCGUUUGCGUUUACUACACCUCCGAGGCCAUAUGACCGUUUCCAAACGCCACAGAGUAGAUGAACCGGGUUUUGAUGGGUGGUUUUCCAUUUCUUGGCACCGAGGUCGUGUAAAACUAUCACCACCAUCACAAGACAGUUCAUGGCCCAUAUUUAUAAACGUCUCUAGCUCCUAUAUAACUAUUUUUAAGGCCACAGAAUAGAUUAUCCUGAUUUUCAUGUGUGACUCUCCAUUUCUUGGCACCGAGGCUGUGUAAAACCAUCACCACCAUCACAAAACAGUCCCAGCAAGUUCUAGGAGAGGCUUUUCAAACAUCCAUAUUAUAACUGUUAAAAAUACCUUAAAUUCACUGAGAAAUAAUGCAUACCAAAGACCAGGUUAUAAAUGUUUGUACCCUUUUUUUAUUCCAUGCCCAGAGGCAGGAGACUGUCAGUAGCAGGAGGGAGGGAGUUGACGACACAAAGAGCCUUGUGUGUGUGUGUGUGUGUGUGUGUGUGUGUAUUUGCCUAGUUGUGAAAUACAGGAAAAGAACCGUACUAGGCUCGUGCUGUCCCGUCUCCAUAACGCUUAUUAUCCAGUUUGGCUUUAAAUUCAUAAAUUUUUUUUGCACACACAGUCUCCUUGUCAGUCCGUUCCAUGUUGUUAUGCUUCUGUAUGGAAAACUGUAUAUCUUGAUGUCUCUCCUACAGUCGCUCUUCUUCAAUUUCUUACCAUUGCCUCUUGUCACACUUCUGUCACGUUCCACUAGGUCUUCCUUGUCCAAUUUCUCCAAUCCCUCUUGUAUCCUGUACAAUGCUAUUAGGUCCCCUCUCUCUCUUCUGCUCUCCAGUGUUGUUAGUCCUAAUUUCUCCAGUCUUUCUUCUUCAGUAUGUUCUCUCAGUUUCUGGUAAUUUAGUCGCUGUUCUUUGUAUUCUUUCCAACUUUCUAAUUUCUUUCUUCAAUCUAGGUGACCACACUAAUGCUGCAUAUUCCAGUCUUGGACGUAUCAUCCAUGUUAUCAGUUUCUUCACCAUUUCUUCAUCUAAAUAUGUAAAUGCUACUUUAAUGUUUCGAAGAAGAUUGUAUGUUUCCCCAGUUAUCCGGUCUAUGUGUUUUCCAAAGGAUAACUUGUCUGUUAGGAUCACUCCCAGAUCUUUUUCUUCAGUUUUUUUCAUGAUUCUUUCAUUACUUAGAGAGUAGUUCCCUGAUAUUCGUCUACUGCUCCUACCAAACUCCAUCACGCUACACUUCUCUGUAUUGAAUGUUAUUUCCCAUUUGCGUGACCAUUCUAUCGAAAUCUUGGCUUCAUUAGCCACCCUCUUCAUUAUUUUAGCAUCAUCAGCAAACAUAUUCAUAUAGCUUGUCAACCCUUCUGUCAUGUCAUUAAUAUAAGUUACAAACAUAAUCGGAGCCAGCACCGAUCCUUGAGGGACUCCACUCGUCACUACCAUCCAGCUUGAUUUAUUGUCCCUGAUUACUGUUUUCAUUUCUCUCUUCGUCAAAAAGUCCAUAAUCCAAUCCAAUAUAGAACCACCCAGACCUCCAACAUGAUUAAGUUUCCAUAUAAAUUGCUGGUGUGGUACUUUAUCAAACGCCUCCUUUAAGUCCAGAUACACACAAUCUGCCCAACCGUCUCUUUCCUGUACUAUAUCAAUUACUCUUAAAUAGAAGCUGAUCAGAUUAGUUACACAAGACCGUCCUCCUCUGAAUCAGAAUUGGCUAUUUGUUAAUAUACUGUUUUCUUCUAAAUACUCCACCCAUCUGUUUUUCUUAUAAUUUUCUCACACAUCUUUGCUACUACACUUGUUAAUGACACUGGCCUAUAGUUCAACGGGUCUUCCUUACUUCCUCCUUUAUGUAUUGGGACGAUGUUAGCCCUCUUCCAGUCUCUUGGUGCCUUCCUUGUGCUAGUGAGACAUUAAUCAAGUGUGUGUGUGUGUGUGUUUGUAUGUGUGUGUGUGUGUGUGUGUUUGUAUGUGUGUGUGUGUGUGUGUGUGUGUGUGUGUGUGUGUGUGUGUGUGUGUGUGUUUUCAAUGGGUUCAUGUACAUUUUUUUUAGGCUGUGUGUGUAUGUAUGUUAUUGACAAGAACUAAUUCUCUCUCUCUCUCUCUCUCUCUCUCUCUCUCUCUCUCUCUCUCUCUCUCUCUCUCU
This is a long non-coding RNA of Eriocheir sinensis (Chinese mitten crab), 3832 nucleotides long. RefSeq lists it as uncharacterized. NCBI's taxonomy places the organism in Eukaryota, Metazoa, Arthropoda, Malacostraca, Decapoda, Varunidae. The record is from RefSeq and is a predicted model, not a curated record. The transcript has 7 exons.